Long non-coding RNA from Drosophila hydei, 804 nucleotides. RefSeq lists it as uncharacterized. NCBI's taxonomy places the organism in Eukaryota, Metazoa, Arthropoda, Insecta, Diptera, Drosophilidae. The transcript has 3 exons. The record is from RefSeq and is a predicted model, not a curated record.
UAUCACAUGUGAUAAAUUUCACAUGGUCAACUUGGUUGACAGAAAACUGUGAAGCAUUCUGUGCAUAUAUUCAUAUUAAAACUUAAAGAAUUUACUUUCAAAUGCCAUGACAUACAUUUUUAUAUUAUCUUGCUUGUCUUAACAAGAUUCUAUGGUUUAGCUUUUGGGUGCGAAUUGGCCUUCUGUGCACUUCUUUAAUUUCUGAAAAUUUAUUUUAUAAACAAAAAAUUAUUUUUUAAAAAAUAGUUUUUUAAAGCAAUUCUACCCUAACAAACAUGCUGAUUUGAAAGUUUUGGAUGUGGGUAUAAGACGAAAACGCUCACCAUUAUGUUGACUCUUUUGUUGUCGCUCUCUUCAGAUUUGAAGUGACCUGCAAAGGAAUCUGGAAUACUAGUAAUGGGAGAUUUUAUUUUGCCUGCGUAAUCUGUGAGGACUGAUGCAAGAACAAUACCUUCACCCUGCUGUCAUAUGUAUGAUUUGGUUCUCUUGUCUUAACAAAGCUUAACAUUCAGUGAUCUCCUCAUAAGUACAUUAGUGCGUUGAUGUUUCAACAGUUGUUUCACAUUUUCGGUUACGCUGCAAUAUGGCGCGCAUAAAAGCUGAAUGCUCCCUUCAAUCAUUGAUCAGAAGUCAGCGACAUGGAAAACGCAGAACAAAGUUCGCCCAGAACAAAUCGUUAAUAUCUUAGAAAAAAGAUAAAAAGAAAACGGAUGUAUAAUUAAACUGCGAAAGCUGUCACACAAUUUUAAUCUCUCACUCAAAUACCUGAUCACAACAGAUCAAAUAGCCAGCCCAAGUGUUACC